GACGAACGCUGGCGGCAUGCCUAAUACAUGCAAGUCGAACGCUUUAAUUUCACCGGGUGCUUGCACCCAUCGGAGUUAAGGAGUGGCGGACGGGUGAGUAACACGUGGGUAACCUGCCCAUAAGAGGGGGAUAACAUUCGGAAACGGAUGCUAAUAUCGCAUAUUUCUAAUCGUCUCCUGACGAAUGGAAGAAAGGUGGCUUCGGCUACCGCUUAUGGAUGGAUCCGCGGCGUAUUAGCUAGUUGGUGAGGUAAUGGCUCACCAAGGCGAUGAUACGUAGCCGACCUGAGAGGGUGAACGGACACAUUGGGACUGAGAUACGGCCCAG
Molecule: ribosomal RNA, 328 nt
Filed under: uncultured bacterium
Lineage: Bacteria
Description: bacterial SSU rRNA
Rfam family: Bacterial small subunit ribosomal RNA
Source: RNAcentral